AUCAGAUUCCGGAAUUUGGCAGAAGGAGAGAUUUCAUCUGUUUUCUGGCUCACAUGGAGGGUGAGAACCAUCUACAGCACUGGAACACAUUCAGGUGUUUUCUGUUGUGCUUUGCAGUCCUUAUUCUUACAACUGAGGUCAAUGCAGUAAGUGUGCUUUUAAUUUUACUAUAUGAAGUGGACAAAAUUAAGUACAGAUUGUGUUGUCAGAUUUGUGUAUCAUUUAUGGUCCUACACGCUCAACGAAACCUUAAGAUUAGUGGGAGUGUCCUUGUUUGUAUUACAAGUUCCUCGUGUGCAAUUCACAAAUGUUUGCCAUUUACAGAUCUUUUCAGUGUGCAUGUUCCUUUCAUUCAAAGCUUGUUUGAUUUUAAAGCCACAUUUAAUUUUGCCGAUGGUUGUUGGUGGUAAUAUAAUCAACUGGUUUCUAGAAUCUCGAUGUUAAUGUUAAAAAAAUAAUUUCUAAGAAGGUUGUUAAAAUAAUAUAGUGACAGAUCUUUUCUUCUGUGUUGUGAGGCAUAUCCGAGUAUAUAAUGGAUUGUUGAAAAAUAAAACCUGUAGGAUAGGAAUUAGUUUUAUGCAUCGGUUAUUAAUUGGAUGUCGAGAUGUGGGUGUUGCACUCAAAAAUGGAGAAAGAUGAAUGCAAGCUUUAAAGGAAUAGUUCACCCAAUUUUUUUUUUUUUUUUAUUGACUCACCCUCAGGCCAUCCAAGAUGUAGAUAAGUUUGUUUCUUCUUCAGAUUUGGAGAAAUGUAGCAUAGCAUCACUUGCUCACCAGUGGAUCCUCUGCAGUGAAUGGGUGCCGUCAGAAUGAGAGUACAAAAAGCUAAUAAAAACAUGACAAUAAUCCACACCACUCCAGUCCAUCAAUUAACAUAUUGUAAAGUAAAAAGCUGUGUGUUUGAAAAAAAAUAAAUAAAUAAAUCAUUAAGACUUUUUUAACAUCAAUCUGUUGCACUGGCCUAGAAUAUGAGUCCUGUUCUAUGAUAUUGCUUUUCCCUGUGAAAAAAAAUAAUAAUAAUCUUGUCUGAAUCAGGAAUGAAAUGUGCACAGAUCAAGCACCAUUAACUAGAAAAACAGUUUAAGACAAUAUAUCUCGGUGGAUUUUGAUAUGAGAGGACAACAGGGAAUUUACUUUUUCACUUGAGGAAACAUUAUGGAUUACAGACUCAUAUUUUGUUCUGAAGUCACAGUUUAAAAGAUAAAAUGCUUCAACUAAGGAUUUGUACCUUACAAACACAGCUCUUCACUACAUAAGAUGUUAAUCGAUGGACUGGACUCGUGUGGAUUACUUUUGGUUUAUUGUGAUGUUUUAUCAGCUGUUUGGACUCUCAUUUGGACGGUAUAGAUUAUAGGUUGUUCAAUAGGUUAUCAUAAUCAAUGUUAAUUAUGUUUUGUACAGACUUAUUGCUGUCUCUGGACAAUAUAGUAGUAGCUUUACCACUGGACAGCAGUCUCCACAUGAGUUAUGAUGAGUGUGUGAACUCUUCUUACAGUCUUGAGGAUGAUUUCAACAUGAAACAUCUUCCUUUUCCUGAUCCACAUGCUCAUAUGUGUUUCUGGCAACCAGCCAUCACCAGCAGCAAACACAGCAAGUUCAAAAGAGCUGAUAGUUUUCCAGCCGCCUGUACAAGCUCCUUCAGCUGUAACCUCAUUCUAUUAGCUGUAGAUCUAGCUGUGGUAUGCAUCUUGGCACCUUGUUUUUUUAAAGAAGAGAUUGCAUACUACAUAAGGUGAUUUUAUAAUCUCAUAAUUCCAAUGGCUCAGUUCACAAGACCAGUAUAUAAUAAUUAUAUGGUGUUAUUUUUUAGUCAAAAGUUAUGAGCGUGUAAGACAUGCUCACGAGCACAUUGUUAUUUCACACACACAAAAAUUGAAAUUCAACAACCGAGAGG
Molecule: long non-coding RNA, 1893 nt
Filed under: Carassius auratus (goldfish)
Lineage: Eukaryota; Metazoa; Chordata; Actinopteri; Cypriniformes; Cyprinidae
Description: lncRNA (ENSCARG00000062552.1)
Source: RNAcentral